AUCAUAGAAUUGAAGGUCGAGGCG
This 24-nucleotide non-coding RNA is filed under the name Arabidopsis thaliana (thale cress). The record is from RNAcentral. Lineage: Eukaryota; Viridiplantae; Streptophyta; Magnoliopsida; Brassicales; Brassicaceae.